GACGAACGCUGGCGGCGUGCUUAACACAUGCAAGUCGAACGGAAAGGCCCUGCUUUUGUGCGGUGCUCGAGUGGCGAACGGGUGAGUAACACGUGAGUAACCUGCCCUUGACUUUGGGAUAACUUCAGGAAACUGGGGCUAAUACCGGAUAGGAGCUCCUGCUGCAUGGUGGGCGUGGGAAAGUUUCGGCGGUUGGGGUUGGACUCGCGGCUUAUCAGUUUGUUGGUGGGGUAGUGGCUUACCAAGGCUUUGACGGGUAGCCGGCCUGGGAGGGUGACCGGCCACAUUGGGACUGAGAUACGGCCCAGACUCGUACGGGAGGCAACGGUGGAGAGUAUUGCACAGUGAGCGGGAGCCUGAUGCGGCAACGCCGCGUGCGGAAUGACGGCCUUCGGGUUGUAAACAGCAUUCGCCUGUGACGAAGCGUGAGUGACGGUAAUGGGAGAAGAAGCACCGGCUAACUACGUG
This 468-nucleotide ribosomal RNA is filed under the name uncultured bacterium. RNAcentral's name for it is "partial 16S ribosomal RNA". It matches the Rfam family "Bacterial small subunit ribosomal RNA", at positions 28 to 507 of the family's 1533-position model. The record is from RNAcentral.